Plutella xylostella (diamondback moth) is the source of this 466-nucleotide non-coding RNA. The record is from RefSeq and is a predicted model, not a curated record. NCBI's taxonomy places the organism in Eukaryota, Metazoa, Arthropoda, Insecta, Lepidoptera, Plutellidae.
ACGACUGCGCGUGACCCUACCUCACGGCAGUCCUCUAGGUGCCUAGCCCGCUCUAAAGUGUCGAAUGACCUAGACCUUACCAGUGGUACCUUGUGCGUGUCUUCCCCAAUAUCGGGGUCCAAGGUCCACGCUUACGUCCACGGUACGGUUUACCGACUACACGGAUCUACGGCUGAUUCUACGGCUCGCCCUCUACGUGCUGGUUCGGCAACCGCCUACCUCCGUGUUGCUGACCACGCCGCGCAGCCGAGCUACACGCCACGCGCACGCAACGGCCACGUGACCUGCCUGCCUACCUACCUGGGCACUGGAGAAGAGGACUUCCACGCCGGUCGCAUUAUCGGGAUUCCACGCCGAUACUCUUCGACUCAGGGGAGUCCCUAUCCGUACCAACUGAAAACUGACUGAUCGUGUAGUGUAGGCCUAACCCACACUUGACCUCUAAAUAAAUUUGUGUCAAGCUAAA